Molecule: long non-coding RNA, 1117 nt
Organism: Helicoverpa zea (corn earworm)
Lineage: Eukaryota; Metazoa; Arthropoda; Insecta; Lepidoptera; Noctuidae
Exons: 3
Source: RefSeq, a predicted model, not a curated record
AAAUAUUAAUUUUGAGUCGACAACAUAUAUCCGCAAAAUUCGGAUUAUGGAGAAUUUCGUUAAAUUUCAAUUGCACUGACAAGCAAACCACAGUCGCCAUCUUGGGUAGUUAAUAAACGUUGCUUAGAUACGCAUCGCCAACGUUUAGUGAAUCUUAUCAAAAAAUACUUUUCGUCAGUCGUUGACGUUUCGCGAAAAUAUUGUUUUUGACACUUUUUUAUGAUAUACUUUUUGUUAUGUGUUUUUUCUUUAAACCUAAGAUUGGCCGAUUGCGAUAAAAACCAUAGAAAGAAGAAUAAUAACCAUAACCUCAAAGUCGAAGUUUUAGUUCAAAUGUCAUUUAGUUGUUCAAAUGUCAUUUAGUUGUUCAAAUGUCAUUGUCAUUUACUUUGUUUGGAUUACACACAUCAUGCCGAAAAUCGUAAGUAUUUCAUAAAAUGUUUCGUUGGUCGUGUCUCUGUCUUCGUUUAGUCUUUUGUUUGAUGAUACCUAUAUCAUUUUGUUAACAGCCGAAUCUCCGUGCAUUUGGUAAACAUUGUCACAAUUGUGGAAAGUGGAUGGAGCGAAGAAAUGUGCAGUCGGUGUGUGGAAUGCGACAACAUUAUACUCGAUAAUUUCAAUUAUUGCGAGUGCUGUGGCUGUAAAAUGAAAAAUAAUACUUAUUACCAGAUAGAGAUGUCGAUAACGAAGAGUUGAAUGUUAGAACUUAUGAAAAUAUUAUUUACAACUCAUUUCGAGAAGCUGCUCAAGCAAGAGGGCUCCUUUUUGACGAUCAAGAAUGGGAAAGAUGUUUGAAUGAAGCAAUUGAUUUUAAACUUCCUCGGCAAUUGUUUCGAGUUCGAAGAUUCGAUGAUGUAAAAAUUCAAAUUAUCAAUACCACUGAACAAGACUUGAAAGGUGAUAAAUAUUUAUCGAAAAAUGUUAUAUAUGGAGAAAUUUUGUGAUAAUCAACCUCUGAUGUAUAAUAGAGAAUAUUUUUUUAUAAGUACCUUUGCCAAAUUCUCGGACAAGUACUCAUUGUAAAAUUACAAUUUACAUACUUCCUAAUAUUAUUCUUGAUUUAGCCAAUUUGGAUAAAGAACCACAAUUUCAUAUUUUAUUUUUAAAAUUAGUAAGU